RNAcentral lists this transfer RNA (70 nucleotides) under Pyrgopsella youngi. RNAcentral's name for it is "tRNA-Ser". It matches the Rfam family "tRNA". From Rfam's summary of the family: Transfer RNA (tRNA) molecules are approximately 80 nucleotides in length. Their secondary structure includes four short double-helical elements and three loops (D, anti-codon, and T loops). Further hydrogen bonds mediate the characteristic L-shaped molecular structure. tRNAs have two regions of fundamental functional importance: the anti-codon, which is responsible for specific mRNA codon recognition, and the 3' end, to which the tRNAs corresponding amino acid is attached (by aminoacyl-tRNA synthetases). tRNAs cope with the degeneracy of the genetic code in two manners: having more than one tRNA (with a specific anti-codon) for a particular amino acid; and 'wobble' base-pairing, i.e. permitting non-standard base-pairing at the 3rd anti-codon position. Lineage: Eukaryota; Metazoa; Arthropoda; Thecostraca; Balanomorpha; Pyrgomatidae. The record is from RNAcentral.
AACUAUUUGGCUGAUAGGAAAGCAAGUGUUUUGAAAACACUCUAUAGAAGUUCGAAUCUUCUAAUAGUUU